RNAcentral lists this ribosomal RNA (497 nucleotides) under uncultured bacterium. Its description in RNAcentral is "partial 16S ribosomal RNA". It matches the Rfam family "Bacterial small subunit ribosomal RNA", at positions 28 to 507 of the family's 1533-position model. The record is from RNAcentral.
GACGAACGCUGGCGGCGUGCCUAAUACAUGCAAGUUGAGCGCUGAAGGUUGGUACUUGUACCAACUGGAUGAGCAGCGAACGGGUGAGUAACGCGUGGGGAAUCUGCCUUUGAGCGGGGGACAACAUUUGGAAACGAAAGCUAAUACCGCAUAAAAACUUUAAACACAAGUUUUAAGUUUGAAAGAUGCAAUUGCAUCACUCAAAGAUGAUCCCGCGUUGUAUUAGCUAGUUGGUGAGGUAAAGGCUCACCAAGGCGAUGAUACAUAGCCGACCUGAGAGGGUGAUCGGCCACAUUGGGAAUGAGACACGGCCCAAACUCCUACGGGAGGCAGCAGUAGGGAAUCUUCGGCAAUGGACGAAAGUCUGACCGAGCAACGACGCGUGAGUGAAGAAGGUUUUCGGAUCGUAAAACUCUUUUGGUAGAGAAGAACGUUGGUGAGAGUGGAAAGCUCAUCAAGUGACGGUAACUACCCAGAAAGGGACGGCUAACUACGUG